ACACACACACACACGCACACAAACUUUCUGAGACUUCAUUUAGCACAGACUUCCUGGACUAAAUGACUCAGACUGAAAGUCAGCGUUUUAUUAUAGGGGAAUUUGUGUGUUUGGUGUUUACUUGAAACCUUUUUUUUUCUUUUAAGAGACAUAUGAAAUGGAGACGAGCUCAGGCACUGUUACACGUCUCUUCUUCGUGGGUUUUUGGGUGUGAAGCAGACUCGUAGUGCGCGAGCACCAUUACACAUCUCACGAGCCGAGCUGCAGCACUGUGGAGCCAGAUACCGCGCGUGCAUUAUUGUUAUUAUUCUUCCGGGGAAGUAGCUUGUCUAUCUAUAUACGGGAUCUUGUCUAACGGGUCGCUGUGAAUCUCACGUCACCUCAGUUGAACUUGGGUGAGCUGGUUCACCAGAGAACGCUGUCAGACCGGUUUGGGCUGCCGGAUGCCGCGACCUAUAGGAGGGGAAAGAAAGCAAGAAAGAAAACGCUAUCGUUAUUACGCUAGAGUGCUUGAAAGAGACCAUCUCUCGACGUCAGUCGUAGGCGUUUUUUUUUGUUUUUUUUUGCGACCCGGGUCGCUGUGCUUUUUGCUCGCGCUCGUCUCUGUCGUCGUUGCUGAGGAGCUCGCGCUCAACAAAAGUAACCGGGACGACAGGAAUUCGCCAUGGAGAAGAAUGACAGCUUCACCGCCUGGAGACCGCGAGCUACCGUCUCUCCUCUCCUCUCCUCUCCUCUUUUCUUCUCUUCGCUCUUGAACUUGAACUCCAAAACCGCCUCGUAAAACCCCCACAUCAUCUCCGUUGUUGCUUAAAAUGGCGUAACCCUACAUGCAGCCCUUUCGUUGUUUGCCAGCUUCUUGAUCAGAGGCUGACCCCAGAGUUCACAGCUGUAAUUGAGAAGUCUUGCAGACACGUGCGCAUGGGGCCCCAGGAGAGACCACCACUGCAGCAGAGCUGGGGAGCGAAAGGUGAGUGAUAAAAGGUGUAUUUUUCCCCUUUUUAUUUUAAUUUAAUUAGACAAAAUAUUCUAUACUACAACGUAUUGAUAAAACUUGCACCUUGAUACCGAACAGUGAGUGUUAAAUAAAAAGUGAGUUCAAGUUUUAUGGAUGCUAUUUUGAAUUUUUAUUGCCAUUAAUGGUCCUCAGUGUAUAUGUGUCGAUCCAUAUUUAUUUCCAUUGCUUUUAUUUUCUACUAUGUGCAAUAUUUAAUCACAGCCGAAUUUGAACCCAGCAGAGUAGGCACUGUUAAGGGCUUAAUAAUACCAUGCUUGAACUGACCACUGAUAGCAGGUCCAUGCUUUGCUCUUUCCUCCUUUAUACCAGACCUCUGCUCUAGUACGAGAACUUUAGAUGUUUAAGAUCACUUUGAGCCAACAAUAAACAUUCAAGUUCUUUUAUCUGUGUGCCAGAUUUGUGUAAUCCUGUGUUCAGAUGUCUGGCGGAUCUGGAAGUAAAGUUGCCUAGUAAUGAAUUUACUGCAUUUUUGGUUUUUGCUAAUCCUCUUAGUUGAAACAGAUGAUACACUGCACAGCUUGACUCGGACACUUAACAAACUUACUCACUUAGCACUUGGUUGUGGAUGAUUUUUUUUAAUGAGAUAAAUGUUCAUAAAUACACCCACCCCAAAAACACUGCCUGAAGAAUCUUAAGCAUAAAGACAUAUUGGAUAAGUAAGGUAUACAUUUUGUCCCUUUCCACCAUGAUUACAUAAUUUCCCAAGGUGUACUGUGCAUGUAUAUACUAUUUAAAUAGACCUUUUUGCACUAAUGUAUUGAGGAGAAGCAGCCAUUUUGAUUUAUGAAUGAAAAGACAUUUUGCCUGGCUACAGUGACAUUAGUAGAAACAUAAGCCUGUUGCUGAUGUACAUCUUUGCUUUGAUCAACUAUAUACACUUGGACUGAAUGAAUAACUGUAAUUUUGUAAGAGACCAAUAUAACAA
Long non-coding RNA from Neoarius graeffei (lesser salmon catfish), 1940 nucleotides. RefSeq lists it as uncharacterized. The transcript is spliced from 3 exons. Lineage: Eukaryota; Metazoa; Chordata; Actinopteri; Siluriformes; Ariidae. The record is from RefSeq and is a predicted model, not a curated record.